AUAAUGUGCUCGCAUUAUAGAUUUCUGUCACAGAAUAAAUGUGGUCAGAUAACUUAAAAAUUUGAAAUGGGACAUUUAAUCUACUUAAUGGUCCAAUAUCCAAAAUCUAAUUCCAUGGUUAGAUUCAGCAUAUAUAUAAAAAAAAAGUUUAAUUUUGGACCCUUUGGACCUUAAUAUGGACUAAUUUGAAAACAGGGCCCAAAAUUAAAAAUCUGAAUGCACAGUAAGAUUUAACAUAUCAUAGAACCACAAGAAUUCUGUUUUUGAUGAUAUCAAACAAAGUCUAAUUUUGGACCCUUUGGACCUCAAUGAAGACCUAUUUAAAAAUGUCAAAAUAUCCAAUAUAGUAACACAUGGUAAAAACCUCAAAUACUUCAAGACUUUAAAUUAAUCCUCAUUGAAAUUGGUUAAAAGAUUUGUAUUUAUUUUCAAUUGAAGAUUUCUUGCUGUUGUGCAAUACUUUGCUGUUGGGCAAUACUUAGUAAAUCUGUUUACAAACUAAAUAUAAUAAUUUACACACCCUGUUUGGUGUGUAUCUCCUGCCAUAUCAGUAUUUGUUGUUACUUUAUAUAGAUCAGAAAUAAUUUAUGUUAGAACCAGCUUAGCCAAUAUUAGAAAAUUCUUGUUUUUGGCCCCUAUUUGGCUUCUAGUUCCUUAACGAUUAAAGCCACAACCCACAAAAUCAACCCCAACCUUCUGUGUGUGGUAUGGAACCUUGUGUUUCAAUUUCAUAGAGAUCCAUAGACUAAUACUUAAGUAAUUGUCCAUUAACCAGAAAAACCUUGUUUUUCCCCCCUUUUUUGCGCCUAAUUCCUGAACGGUUUGGGCCAUAACCCCCAAAGUCAAUCCCAAUCUUCCCUUUGUGGUAUGGAACCUUGUGGUACAAUUUCAUAGACAUCCAUACACUUAUGCCGCCGAUGACCUUAUAGCAAUAUACCAAAUAAAAUUUUUUGCGGUCGUAUAAAAAUUAGUCCCAAAACUCCUGUAAAAAUUAUCAAAUCAAAAUGUCUGUAUGAUAUGGUCAACUACACAUGAUGGCAUACUAGUGUAAGAGUUUUCUGUCCAAGGCAACAAUCUCAAUAUUUUUAAAAGGCAUCAUGUUAUGGUUUUCCAUUUCUUUCACAGAGUUUCCUUUUCUGCACUGCAGAAAUUCAAUUGUUUAAUAAGGCAUUUUGAAAAUGAAAACAAUAACUUGCCGCAUUCAAUAUUGCUGUUUUAAUCUACUAUAUUUUUAGAUAUAAAAGGCAAUAAAAGGCUCUGCUGGGCACAGCUUAAUACGACCACAGAGGUCGAACCCUGAACAGUUGGGGCAAGUAUGGACACAACAUUCAAGCUUGAUACAGCUCUGAAUUUGGAUUGUGAUUAAAUAUUUGACACAGCAUAGGUUUCUGACACAGAAAGAAUGUGGUCUAAGAACUUGAAUUUUUUUAAUUUACCUAUUAUGGUCCAAUGUCCAAAAUCAAAAUACAUGGUUAGAUUCAGCAUAUCAAAGAACCCCAUAUAUUCAAUUUUUGUUGAAAUCAAACAAAGUUUAAUUUUGGACUCCAACUUGGACAAAGUUGAAAACUGGGCCCAUAAUAAAAAAUCUAAACACAUGUUUAGAUUCAGCAUAUCAAAGAACCCCAAGAAUUCAAGUUUUGUUAAAAUCAAACUAAGUUUACUUUUGGACCCUUUGGACCUUAAUGUAGACCAAUUUAAAAAACAGGACCCAAAAUUAAAAAUCUAAAUACACGAUUAGAUUUGGAAUAUCAAAGAACCCCAAAAUUCAAUUUUUGAUGAAAUCAAACAAAGUUUUAAUUUGGACCCUUUUGACUACAAUAUGAACCAAUUUGAUAGCGGGGCCCACAAAUAAAAAAUCUAAAUACAUGGUUAGAUUCAGCAUAUCAAAGAACCCCAUAUGCUGAAAUCAAAAAAAGUUUAAUUUUGGACCCCAACUUGGACCAACUUGAAAACUGGGCCCAUAAUCAAAAAUCUAAACACAUGUUUAGAUUCAGCAUAUCAAAGAACCCCAAGAAUUCAAUUUUUGAUGAAAUCAAACAAAGUUUAAUUUUGGACCCUUUUGACCUCAAUGUGGACAAAGUUGAUAACGGGGCCCAAAAAUCUAAAUACAUGGUUAGAUUCAGAUGAGAACAAUACAACAACAAAUAAUAAAAAAUCUAUAGCAGAUACUUUUAAUAACUUUUUUACUUCCUGUGCUGAAAAACUAAGAGAGCAAAGAGAUAUUUCAUCUGUUGACAAGGCAGAUUUCAAUAAUCUUAGCACAUUCAUUAAUUAUCAAUUAAAACAACAACAAAAUGCUUCGCUGGGCGCAGCUUGAUACAACCGCAGAGGUCGAACCCUGAACAGUUGGGGCAAGUAUGGACACAACAUUCAAGCUUGAUACAGCUCUGAAUUUGGAUUGUGAUUAAAUCUUUGACACAGCAUAGGUUUCUGACACAGAAAGAAUGUGGUCUAAGAACUUGAAUUUUUUUAAUUUACCUAUUAUGGUCCAAUGUCCAAAAUCAAAAUACAUGGUUAGAUUCAGCAUAUCAAAGAACCCCAUAUAUUCAAUUUUUGUUGAAAUCAAACAAAGUUUAAUUUUAGACUCCAACUUGGACAAAGUUGAAAACUGGGCCCAUAAUAAAAAAUCUAAACACAUGUUUAGAUUCAGCAUAUCAAAGAACCCCAAGAAUUCAAUUUUUGUUAAAAUCAAACUAAGUUUACUUUUGGACCCUUUGGACCUUAAUGUAGACCAAUUUAAAAAAAAAGGACCCAAAAUUAAAAAUCUAAAUACACGAUUAGAUUUGGAAUAUCAAAGAACCCCAAAAUUCAAUUUUUGAUGAAAUCAAACAAAGUUUUAAUUUGGACCCUUUUGACCACAAUAUGAACCAAUUUGAUAGCGGGGCCCACAAAUAAAAAAUCUAAAUACAUGGUUAGAUUCAGCAUAUCAAAGAACCCCAUAUGCUGAAAUCAAAAAAAGUUUAAUUUUGGACCCCAACUUGGACCAACUUGAAAACUGGGCCCAUAAUCAAAAAUCUAAACACAUGUUUAGAUUCAGCAUAUCAAAGAACCCCCAAGAAUUCAAUUUUUGUUAAAAUCAAACUAAGUUUAAUUUUGGACCCUUUGGACCUUAAUGUAGACCAAUUUAAAAAACAGGACCCAAAAUUAAAAAUCUAAAUACACGGUUAGAUUUGGCAUAUCAAAGAACCCCAAGAAUUCAAUUUUUGUUAAAAUCAAAGUAAGUUUAAUUUUGGACCCUUUGUACCUUAAUGUAGACCAACUUAAAUAAAAUGCUCGGCAGGGCACAGCUUGAUACGACCGCAGAGGUCGAACCCUGAACAGUUGGGGCAAGUAUGGACACAACAUUCAAGCUUGAUACAGCUCUGAAUUUGGAUUGUGAUUAAAUAUUUGACACAGCAUAGGUUUCUGACACAGAAUGAAUGUGGUCUAAGAACUUAAAAAUUUUAAAUUGGACAUUCACAUAUUAUGGUCCAAUAUCCAAAAUCUAAAUACAUGGUUAAAUUCAGCACAUCAAAGAACCCCAAGAAUUCAAUUUUUGAUGAAAUCAAACAAAGUUUAAUUUUGGACCCUUUUGACCUCAAUGUGGACAAAGUUGAUAACGGGGCCCAAAAAUCUAAAUACAUGGUUAGAUUCAGCAUAUCAAAGAACCCCAUAUAUUCAAUUUUUGUUGAAAUCAAACAAAGUUUAAUUUUGGACCCCGAUUUGGACCAACUUGAAAACUGGGCCCAUAAUCAAAAAUCUAAAUACAUGUUUAGAUUCAGCAUAUCAAAGAACACUAAACAUUCAAUUUUUGUUAAAAUCAAACUAAGUUUAAUUUUGGACCCUUUGGACCUUAAUGUACUCCAAUUUGAAAACAGAACCAAAAAUUAAGAAUCUAAAUACACGGUUAGAUUUGGCAUAUCAAAGAACCCCAAUAAUUCAAUUUUUGAUGAAAUCAAACAAA
This is a long non-coding RNA of Mytilus californianus (California mussel), 3943 nucleotides long. RefSeq lists it as uncharacterized. The record is from RefSeq and is a predicted model, not a curated record. Lineage: Eukaryota; Metazoa; Mollusca; Bivalvia; Mytilida; Mytilidae. The transcript has 2 exons.